This 316-nucleotide small RNA is filed under the name Pongo abelii (Sumatran orangutan). RNAcentral describes it as "processed transcript". The record is from RNAcentral. Lineage: Eukaryota; Metazoa; Chordata; Mammalia; Primates; Hominidae.
AAGGGACCAGAUGGGUCGGGCAGAAAGCCGCGCUCCCACGAGGGUCACCGCGGCGGGGAGAGGUGGAGCCGCGAGAGCUCGGCCGGGGGCCCCGCCGGGUGGUCGCGGCCAUGACAGCGGCUCGGGACAGGUUCCUUUUCCGCGCCCCUCCCGCCUGAGAUGAGGGAAAGAUGUCCCUGUCAGCGUUCAAGGCCAAACUGAAGUUGCCGGCCUCUAUCUUCCACGAGAACCAGGAGCCACAGCCGCGGCUCACGCUCCACCGCAACAUCAAGAUUACAAGUGGACACCUGAGUCAGCAGGACCUGGAAUCCCAGAU